This 225-nucleotide long non-coding RNA is filed under the name Mytilus galloprovincialis (Mediterranean mussel). Lineage: Eukaryota; Metazoa; Mollusca; Bivalvia; Mytilida; Mytilidae. The record is from RNAcentral.
CUUUUGUAUACAAUUGAAUAAAUAAAAACAAGGUGAAAAGUUUCAGACUCUGCCAGAGAGUGUGCACUAUAAAUAAAUCGGCAAUCACAACAAUCAUUCUCUUGAAAUAUAUAAUUAGAAAACAAAAUCAUUGUUAGCUUAAAAAAUAACUAUUAAUAAUGACACAAUUAAUACUGAAUCAGAUAUUUAAUAAAACUCUGUACCAGUUUUAUAAUGAAAAAUAAU